Molecule: ribosomal RNA, 465 nt
Filed under: [Eubacterium] saphenum
Lineage: Bacteria; Bacillati; Bacillota; Clostridia; Peptostreptococcales; Anaerovoracaceae
Description: bacterial SSU rRNA
Rfam family: Bacterial small subunit ribosomal RNA
Source: RNAcentral
GAUGAACGCUGGCGGCGUGCUUAACACAUGCAAGUCGAGCGAGAAACUACAUGCAGACACUUCGGUAGAAGCGAGUAGCGGAAAGCGGCGGACGGGUGAGUAACGCGUAGGCAACCUGCCCUUCACAGAGGUAUAGCCUCGGGAAACCGGGAUUAAAACCACAUAAAAUCAUAGGUUCGCAUGAACCAAAGGUCAAAGAUUUAUCGGUGAAGGAUGGGCCUGCGUCUGAUUAGCUGGUUGGUAGGGUAAAAGCCUACCAAGGCGACGAUCAGUAGCCGACCUGAGAGGGUGAUCGGCCACAUUGGAACUGAGACACGGUCCAAACUCCUACGGGAGGCAGCAGUGGGGGAUAUUGCACAAUGGGGGAAACCCUGAUGCAGCAACGCCGCGUGAGGUAUGAAGGCCUUUGGGUUGUAAGCCUCUGUCCUAGGGGAAGAAAAAAAUGACGGUACCCGAGGAGGAAGC